ACGUUUGGAUGUGCUAGAUGAAGAUACAUUUGUUCUUACCUCUUCAGCCUCUUCAUUGUCGCAGUCUACAGGCACUGAAUCUUGGUUACUAUCAUCCAAAUAUAUGUCAGCAAAUGUUCUGGCAAAACUCCCUGUUGCCGUAUCUUUGCCAACAGCCAAAGCCAUUUCAUCAUAAUGAUCAAUGCUUUUAUUCAAAAAUGGUUC
Molecule: long non-coding RNA, 204 nt
Filed under: Gossypium barbadense (sea-island cotton)
Lineage: Eukaryota; Viridiplantae; Streptophyta; Magnoliopsida; Malvales; Malvaceae
Description: long non-coding RNA (GBAR_LNC022281)
Source: RNAcentral